Molecule: ribosomal RNA, 594 nt
Filed under: Macarorchestia remyi
Lineage: Eukaryota; Metazoa; Arthropoda; Malacostraca; Amphipoda; Talitridae
Description: bacterial SSU rRNA
Rfam family: Eukaryotic small subunit ribosomal RNA
Source: RNAcentral
AUCUAAUCAGAGUGCUCGGGUGGAGGCUUGUGUCCGGGGUCGUGGGCGUGCGUCUCGUGCGUGCGUGCUCGUGCUUCGGCGCUUCCUCUUUUGCCCACCUCUGUGCUCUUACUUGGAGGGGGUGACUUCUGUGUCACCUUGAGUAAAUCAUGGUGCUCACAGCAGUCGUGCGGGCCCCGUGCCCUGUGAACAGUCUAUGCGGACUGAAUUGGUUUUGCAAGGCAUGACGAAACAUGACGUCGCUGCUGGUCGCGAGUGUGAGGGUGCAGUCCUCGUGGCUGUGCCGAGCGGUUUGCCAGUAGUGACGUAAUGAUCAAUGGAGACGGUAGCUGGCAUUGGUAUUGCGCGGCGAGAGGUGAAAUUCUGCGACCCCCGCAAGACCUCCUAAAGCGAAGGCGUCUGCCAAGGACGUGUUCACCAAUCAUGAACGAAAGUCAGAGGAUCGAAGGCGAUCAGAUACCGCCCUAGUUCUGACCCUAAACGAUGCCAACCAUCAAUCCGCGUGAGCACCCUAUCUAACGGGCUCGGCGGGCAGCUCCCUUCUUCCGGGAAACCAGAGUUUUUGGGUUCCGGGGGGAGUCUGGUUGCAAAGCU